CGGCACGAAGGUCUCCGAAGGUCCCCGUCCGUCACGCACCUCCUCUCCUCGCUGGACUCGGCUCUCUCUCUCUCUCUCCCUUCCUUUGCGGUCCUUGGAGGAGGAGGGAGGAGAGGCGAGAGGAGGAGGAGGAGGGGGCGCGUAGGAGCUCGGGGGGUCCGGCCGCCGCGCCCUGCGCCGUACCGGUGGCCGCCGCUGCCGACGCCGCCGCCCCUCGGCCGCCGCGGGCCGCCGCCGCUGGACAUGCGGCACGACCCCGAGUCGUUCCUCACGAGGCUGCGGCUGGAGUUCGAGCGGAUGGCCUUCGACCGGUACUCUACCGUAGGCCUGUCUACGAGCAGGAGGUCGCCGUGGUUCGCCUACCUCCUCCGGUUCCUCUUCAAGGUCCUCUAGGUCCCGCGGAUAAGGCAGGAGAGGCUGCGGUUGUUCGCCAAGGAGAUGCUGCACCCCCACAUGGUUCUUCUUCUUCUGUCGCUGCUGUCGCCCUACCCCCUGAAGGAACCACUCUACCGGGUAUACUACUCGGUCUGUGCCGGUCGCUCCGUCCUCUCGAAACUCCUCGACGUCGUCGACAAACACCUGUACAAAGUCAGACUAUAACUGAGCCCCAAAACGUUAUCUGGACGGUUCCCGGUAGUACUGGGCAAGGUUUGUAAGAGCUGGAGGGGAAGGAGCAGCGGUAGAGGUGGUGGAGGUCAUCGAUGUCUCCGUCUUCGUCGGAGUACAUUGCCGUAAUUGUUCGCACCGAGUAGUCGUUACCCGAGACCCUUCGGAGGUUCUCGACCCCUUCGCCCACGCCCAAUGCCGGUCGGACUCAAAACAAAACCCUGCUCGCUGCGGUUCGUUCGCGGUUUCCGCGCUCCGUCCUUGUGGUCGUCCUCUGCCUUGCCCGUUUUCGUCUUCGACAGCAGCUUCGUGCUGCAGAGCAGGCUCCUGCUCUACGACUCGGGCGUCGUCGGGUCUCAUCGUACU
Molecule: ribosomal RNA, 972 nt
Filed under: Triticum aestivum (bread wheat)
Lineage: Eukaryota; Viridiplantae; Streptophyta; Magnoliopsida; Poales; Poaceae
Description: partial small subunit ribosomal RNA
Source: RNAcentral